GGAUGUGAGGGCGAUCUGGCUGCAACAUCUGUCAGCCCAUUGAUUGCCAGGGUUGAUUCGGCUGAUCUAGCUGGCUAGGCGGCUGUCUCCUUCCCCCCUCACCGCUCCAUGUGCGUCCCUCCCGAAAGCUGCGCGCUCUGUGGAAGAGGACGACCAUCCCUGAUAGAGGAGGGCCGGUCUUCCGGUCUUCUGGUCUUCCGGUCUUCCGGUCUUCCGGUCUUCCGUCAAGGGUAUAUGAGUAGCUGCGCUCUCUACUAGAACCUCCAAGCAAGCGCUCAGGAAUUGGCAACACGGAGAAGGUAAGAAACUUUCCCAAGGACAGUAGACACCUUGGGUUUGCUCUGGGCAGUCU
Unclassified non-coding RNA from Homo sapiens (human), 352 nucleotides. Lineage: Eukaryota; Metazoa; Chordata; Mammalia; Primates; Hominidae. The record is from Ensembl.